GCCGUCGGGCAAUUGACGCAUGCGCUGUGAGAGAAACCGCUAGGAGAAUGGUCCAGCGCCGCCUGCGAAAUAGAUGAGGUUGCACUCGAUGUUGCCGCCAUUUGCCGCCAUUUGGGAGCGGCCGCUAUGAAUGCUGGCAUGGAGUAUUCUUGAUCUGACAUCCUUCUGGAGAUAAAAGAACAAGGGUUAGGGAGACAGGGAGAGAUACAUUACAUAAGUAAAUACACAAGAACAAAAACAGAUCAGCAGACAGGAUUUGGUAAGAGAGGGGUAGCGGCGAAUAGGUACCAAACAGAGCUAAUCUAUUAACAGGAAAAUACAUUACGCAAAACAAGAGCUGUAAGAUAUAAAACUUGUGUUUGAAACAAAUUCAUCUUUAGAAUUGGAUUGCGAUAGGAUGUGCACAAACAUAUUCGAAACAAUAUGAACUGUUGUUAUAGAGAGAACAACAAACACAAGCCUGCUUUUUUAUUAAAAAAAGUUAAAUGCUAAGUUAAGUUAAUGGCGCGCUACAAUUUUAAAGAAAUAGGAAUUACCACUGCACUGCCUAAAAAGUAAGCUAUACACAGAAAUCAUAAUAGACAACGUGUCUAUAAUAGCAGCCUGAGGUUUUGUUGCUGGCAGAAUAAUAAGAUAAGAAGUUUUCCAAGUCUCAAGUCUCACUCCCCUCAGGUGAUCAAACAACGAGUGCUUUUGGAAAUGAAAACCAAACAGAGCUCAGUAUGUGUGUUGCACCUGCAAACAUGGAGACUGGAGGAGUCAUAAAACUUGUUGACUCGCUGUCGAGAUUCCACCAACAAGGUGUCACUUCAAAGAUUGUCGAAAGUGAAACCCAAUCCUUGGAUCAAUAAACUCUCAGAAUCCCCUUAGAGCCUCAUGGGAAAUAUUCCGCUCUUUAUAACACAAACUAUACAAAUGUCAUUGCCGUGGGAUAUUUAUUUUGCGUCUAGGCUGAUGUUAUAAUAAUAACAUUCUUUUUGGAAAAGUCUUGUUUUUAUUCUUUUCAAAAGAUCCCUCGAUCUUUAGUGUUGGCUUGUUGAAGGGCGAGUACAAACUCUUACAAACUUCACACAUUUUUUAUCUUGUUUUCGGUAGCUAUAGCGACUGCGCUCAAUAACUCAAAGUAUCCCAAUCGUGGAAGUUAGCUAUAUUAAAACCGACCGAAACUGUUUGUUUUAUCGCCGUUAUUACAACGGUUAAGCAUAUAUUAACAACCGUAUAGCACUGUAGAAAAAAAUAACUUGAGUAAACGUCAUUUGAUCCUU
Long non-coding RNA from Nematostella vectensis (starlet sea anemone), 1265 nucleotides. RefSeq lists it as uncharacterized. Lineage: Eukaryota; Metazoa; Cnidaria; Anthozoa; Actiniaria; Edwardsiidae. The transcript has 2 exons. The record is from RefSeq and is a predicted model, not a curated record.